GCCAGGCUAUCUCGCCACCUG
RNAcentral lists this non-coding RNA (21 nucleotides) under Arabidopsis thaliana (thale cress). Lineage: Eukaryota; Viridiplantae; Streptophyta; Magnoliopsida; Brassicales; Brassicaceae. The record is from RNAcentral.